Molecule: ribosomal RNA, 771 nt
Filed under: uncultured bacterium
Lineage: Bacteria
Description: bacterial SSU rRNA
Rfam family: Bacterial small subunit ribosomal RNA
Source: RNAcentral
GCGGACGGGUGAGUAACGCGUGGGUAACCUGCCCUGUACACACGGAUAACAUACCGAAAGGUAUGCUAAUACGAGAUAAAAUACUUUUAUCGCAUGGUGGAAGUAUCAAAGCUUUUGCGGUACAGGAUGGACCCGCGUCUGAUUAGCUAGUUGGUAAGGUAACGGCUUACCAAGGCGACGAUCAGUAGCCGACCUGAGAGGGUGAUCGGCCACAUUGGAACUGAGACACGGUCCAAACUCCUACGGGAGGCAGCAGUGGGGAAUAUUGCACAAUGGGCGAAAGCCUGAUGCAGCAACGCCGCGUGAGCGAUGAAGGCCUUCGGGUCGUAAAGCUCUGUCCUCAAGGAAGAUAAUGACGGUACUUGAGGAGGAAGCCCCGGCUAACUACGUGCCAGCAGCCGCGGUAAUACGUAGGGGGCUAGCGUUAUCCGGAAUUACUGGGCGUAAAGGGUGCGUAGGUGGUUUCUUAAGUCAGAGGUGAAAGGCUACGGCUCAACCGUAGUAAGCCUUUGAAACUGGGAAACUUGAGUGCAGGAGAGGAGAGUGGAAUUCCUAGUGUAGCGGUGAAAUGCGUAGAUAUUAGGAGGAACACCAGUUGCGAAGGCGGCUCUCUGGACUGUAACUGACACUGAGGCACGAAAGCGUGGGGAGCAAACAGGAUUAGAUACCCUGGUAGUCCACGCCGUAAACGAUGAGUACUAGCUGUCGGAGGUUACCCCCUUCGGUGGCGCAGCUAACGCAUUAAGUACUCCGCCUGGGAAGUACGCUCGC